ACAACCCAGACCGCCAGCUAAGGUCCCAAAGUCAUGGUUAAGUGGGAAACGAUGUGGGAAGGCACAGACAGCCAGGAUGUUGGCUUAGAAGCAGCCAUCAUUUAAAGAAAGCGUAAUAGCUCACUGGUCGAGUCGGCCUGCGCGGAAGAUGUAACGGGGCUAAACCAUGCACCGAAGCUGCGGCAGCGACACUAUGUGUUGUUGGGUAGGGGAGCGUUCUGUAAGCCUGCGAAGGUGUGCUGUGAGGCAUGCUGGAGGUAUCAGAAGUGCGAAUGCUGACAUAAGUAACGAUAAAGCGGGUGAAAAGCCCGCUCGCCGGAAGACCAAGGGUUCCUGUCCAACGUUAAUCGGGGCAGGGUGAGUCGACCCCUAAGGCGAGGCCGAAAGGCGUAGUCGAUGGGAAACAGGUUAAUAUUCCUGUACUUGGUGUUACUGCGAAGGGGGGACGGAGAAGGCUAUGUUAGCCGGGCGACGGUUGUCCCGGUUUAAGCAUGUAGGCUGGUUAUCCAGGCAAAUCCGGAUAAUCAAGGCUGAGGUGUGAUGACGAGGCACUACGGUGCUGAAGUAACAAAUGCCCUGCUUCCAGGAAAAGCCUCUAAGCAUCAGGUAACAUCAAAUCGUACCCCAAACCGACACAGGUGGUCAGGUAGAGAAUACCAAGGCGCUUGAGAGAACUCGGGUGAAGGAACUAGGCAAAAUGGUGCCGUAACUUCGGGAGAAGGCACGCUGGUGUGUAGGUGAAGUCCCUGCGGAUGGAGCUGAGACCAGUCGAAGAUACCAGCUGGCUGCAACUGUUUAUUAAAAACACAGCACUGUGCAAACACGAAAGUGGACGUAUACGGUGUGACGCCUGCCCGGUGCCGGAAGGUUAAUUGAUGGGGUUAUCCGUAAGGAGAAGCUCUUGAUC
This 907-nucleotide ribosomal RNA is filed under the name Klebsiella pneumoniae. RNAcentral describes it as "partial 23S ribosomal RNA". It matches the Rfam family "Bacterial large subunit ribosomal RNA", at positions 1022 to 1913 of the family's 2925-position model. Lineage: Bacteria; Pseudomonadati; Pseudomonadota; Gammaproteobacteria; Enterobacterales; Enterobacteriaceae. The record is from RNAcentral.